This is a long non-coding RNA of Dreissena polymorpha, 521 nucleotides long. RefSeq lists it as uncharacterized. Lineage: Eukaryota; Metazoa; Mollusca; Bivalvia; Myida; Dreissenidae. The transcript has 3 exons. The record is from RefSeq and is a predicted model, not a curated record.
AGGGGAUGGAGGACACAUUAAAAACAUAGUUGAAAUCUUCAUCAUGGCAAGAUUGAAUCAAGUUUGUUCGUUCAUAAUUGUUUUAUUGGUUAAUAAAGUUUCUAUUAAAGUAAUUCAAGGAGGCGAAUUGGGCCAUUUGUCUCUGAUUACACCAGCAUUUGUCGGCAGAGACGUUAUACUGCAGUUAAAACUCAAUGAUGAAGAAUCAAAUAUAGACAUUAAAGACUUGAACUUAUGCGUUCAGUUAGAAAAUGAGACUAUUGCUUGUAAAUCCAAAGAGGAUUAUCGUAUUCUUUUUGCAAGACAAUUGUGUGCGAUCAUUGUGGAACUACCUACGGCAAAACCGAUAUGGAAACCGGUGAAAGUGAGUUUGAAGGCAUAUACUAAAGAGACAAACAUGGUUUCUCUGGAUUUGCAAGAAUUCCAGAGUGGAUGCGGUUAUUUGUACAUAUCGUCUAUAUCCACUAACGCUGCCGAAAUUACAUACUAUCCUACUCAAGAUGUGCUGGAUAACCCCGGUG